GCAACUCGCCUGCAUGAAGUCGGAAUUGCUAGUAAUCGCAGAUCAGCAUGCUGCGGUGAAUACGUUCCCGGGCCUUGUACACACCGCCCGUCACACCAUGGGAGUCGGUAACACCCGAAGUCGGUAGCCUAACCGUAAGGAGGGCGCCGCCGAAGGUGGGAUUGAUGACUGGGGUGAAGUCGUAACAAGGUAAC
RNAcentral lists this ribosomal RNA (194 nucleotides) under uncultured bacterium. Its description in RNAcentral is "partial 16S ribosomal RNA". It matches the Rfam family "Bacterial small subunit ribosomal RNA", at positions 1307 to 1500 of the family's 1533-position model. The record is from RNAcentral.